GACGAACGCUGGCGGCGUGCUUAACACAUGCAAGUCGAACGGAAAGGCCCUGCUUUUGUGGGGUGCUCGAGUGGCGAACGGGUGAGUAACACGUGAGUAACCUGCCCUUGACUUUGGGAUAACUUCAGGAAACUGGGGCUAAUACCGGAUAGGAGCUCCUGCUGCAUGGUGGGGGUUGGAAAGUUUCGGCGGUUGGGGAUGGACUCGCGGCUUAUCAGCUUGUUGGUGGGGUAGUGGCUUACCAAGGCUUUGACGGGUAGCCGGCCUGAGAGGGUGACCGGCGACAUUGGGACUGAGAUACGGCCCAGACUCCUACGGGAGGCAGCAGUGGGGAAUAUUGCACAAUGGGCGGAAGCCUGAUGCAGCAACGCCGCGUGCGGGAUGCCGGCCUUCGGGUUGUAAACCGCUUUCGCCUGUGACGAAGCGUGAGUGACGGUAAUGGGUAAAGAAGCACCGGCUAACUACGUG
RNAcentral lists this ribosomal RNA (468 nucleotides) under uncultured bacterium. Its description in RNAcentral is "partial 16S ribosomal RNA". It matches the Rfam family "Bacterial small subunit ribosomal RNA", at positions 28 to 507 of the family's 1533-position model. The record is from RNAcentral.